RNAcentral lists this unclassified non-coding RNA (221 nucleotides) under Hevea brasiliensis (rubber tree). The record is from RNAcentral. Lineage: Eukaryota; Viridiplantae; Streptophyta; Magnoliopsida; Malpighiales; Euphorbiaceae.
GAAAAAGAUCAAUAUAGAACUAGUAUUACGCCUACCCUUUCAUAUUAUUUCAGCUAGUGAAAUAUAAUAAUUCACCGCCUGUUAAUAUACUGAAUUCAGUUCAUUUUUACAAAUUUUAAGUCUCAUAUGCUCCUGCUAUGAAGUUGAAUCAAUCUAUAUGUUUCACGCUGCAAGGGAACAUCUAGUGUUGGUUGUUAGUUGAUGGAAAUAUUGCUGUAAUU